RNAcentral lists this long non-coding RNA (312 nucleotides) under Medicago truncatula (barrel medic). RNAcentral's name for it is "long non-coding RNA (MTRU_LNC002405)". Lineage: Eukaryota; Viridiplantae; Streptophyta; Magnoliopsida; Fabales; Fabaceae. The record is from RNAcentral.
AUUCAUACAUGAAAAUGUCCAUAAGUGGAUAAAAGGUUUGUUGGGCCAUGCUAGGGAAAUUUUGACUCACUGCUGCUGAAAAUGUGAUGGAUGUUGUAAGGCUAGAGCUAAUUUAACAUUAAAAUAUCCUUCAUUUGGCUCAGUUUUUGGUCUAUACUUCCUCCGCUUUUAAAUCUAUGCAAAAAUUUAAAUGUAUUUGAUUUAAAUUUGGACUAAAUACAUUUGACUUUUUGUUUAUAUUUAAGGCCGAAGGAAGUAGUAUAUCAAUGAAAUCUUACAUGUCGUUUAUGGCGUCUUCACGGCUAAUCAAUC